UUUGUCUGUACCCAGUGGAACAUUUCUGAAGACUCUACAGAUUGUUCAUUGCCUGUGCAGCAGCAGAUUAACUUGCUGAUAAUAAACUUUUCCUAUUGUGAUUUGUGUAAUAAGUACAGUUAUACUUCACAGGAAGAGCCAUUGUUCUUUUCGUUACAGAGAUGGCCUGGAAGAUCCACUGGAUGGUACAGCUACAGUUUUCCAACAACUGGAGCAACUACACAGUUAGCAGGUGUGGAUGUGAAAAGACCUGUACACUUCUUGGACAGUUGUUUGACCAAAAUGCACAGAACUACCAAAAACUAUUUUGCUCCUCUAGUAGGAAUCAAUUAGAAAUCACAGUCCAGGAAGGACGUCUGGCAUGGCUUGUCUACUUCGUGGGUAUUUUUGUGGGGGGAAUAUUAAUGCACACCAUCACUGAUGAACAUGAUGCUAUGGAUGGAGAAUUAUCCUGUUGGGUGUUUCAGCUGAUGCCUUUCUUGGAUGCCCAGUUACCACAGGCUAGUAAUGAAAAAGUAGAACUGGCAAUUCUGUGGUUCUUGGAUCAGUUUCACAAAACGUAUGUGGGGGAGCAGCCUCAGCACACCUCAAAGAAACACUCCAAGGCACUGCCCAAGCGGUGCAGUUGCAUUUCAGACCUGCCUGCCAUUGAUACUGGAGAGCUGCAUCUGAGAGAGUUGUUCUGUAGCCAAAGUGACUCUGAAGGCGCAGUGAAACGGCUCAGCUCUCGUCUCCUACUCUGUGUGAGGGAGAAACAUAACCUCAGUCCUAAAUGCUGCUGCUGUUCUGUGUGCUGGGCUCUGAAGCAGAAAACUAAUGAUACUGAGCAGUGAAGGUCUGACCCAGCACGGGGCCUGGAGCCACCUACUCUUGCCAUGUAUAUUCCCACAUGUCAGAAGUCUUAGGAAUAACAGAUGACAGCCAUGUUCUGGAAACAUUUGUGACAAAAAUAGGAAGCAUUUCCCUUUCUUGGGCUUCAGUGAUAAUUACAGCAUCAGUGACCUUCAAUGCCAGACGAUGUUCUACGCUGCUCUCACUCAUCUUCUCAUGGUAAAUUUAGGUGAAGAUGAGAAUGAGUUCAAGAAUUUCAUGCUGCUCCUCACAGUUUCAUUUGAGUGUGACUCAGAUGCUCAACAGUAGUUUAGAACAAGAGGCAAAGCGUAUGUUGAUCGGGCUGGCAAGAGAUCUUCGAGGGAUUGCCUUUGCACUAAACACAAAGACCAGCUACACCAUGCUGUUUGACUGGAUAUACCCUACAUACAUUUCUGUUCUGCAAAAAGCUAUUGAACUGUGGUGCCAGGAACCCGCAUGUGCGACACCUAUAUUGAAACUGAUGGCAGAAUUCAUGCAAAACAGGUCGCGACGUUUAAAUUUUGAUGGAUCAUCUCCAAAUGGAAUUCUUCUCUUCAGAGAAGCUAGUGAAAUGAUUUGUACACACAUAGGUAUUCAUUAACAUUUCCUCUGCAGUGUCAUUCUUUACCUGUCUUGUGAUAUAAAAAUCCUGCUAGUUCCUAUCCCUGGCCACUGCUGAGUUUUAGAGAAGGAAGCAGGACUGUGAUGUGCUACCACUGGUCUCAGCCCUUUGUGAGCUGCAGAGCUUGCUGGCAGACCUUUGGAGCUCCAUUCUUUCACAGAUGGGGAUGCGUUCGUGUAGCAUUGUUGCUUGUAUCACUUUAACUCCUCUUUUAGUAACUGUAAAUGGAUUUCAGCAAAGAUACGAAUACUCGUGAGGUGUUUGAUCUCGGCUACUGAUUGAUAGGUGUGGGUUGAUUUUAUAUAUUCAAAUUAUAUUCCAGCAGCUCCAAGACAUAAUAGGACCAUAACAGCUUUACCCUAGAGCACUGUUACAACUGUUCAUAAUAAGUUGCUUCAUUUUACUGUUCCCACUCAGGUAUUCAAUUGCAACAGGUCUGUGACACCAACUGUUUGUAAUAGACUUCAGCUAACUUCGUAGCUUAAAAUUUCACUUCCUAAAUAUUUUGAAAGGAACAUUAGCAUAUUUUUGUAGAUUUGUGGUUUGUGUACAAGGAAGUAGCCAUAAAUGUCCUGCUACUUUUCAAGAAAGAAAACUGGUACAUCAGAUAUGCUUUCAGUGCAUUCAGGCUGCAUUUUAGGUCUGGAAAUUGUGUUUGUUACGUGGCUGCUUGUAAAAAAAACCCUUUGGGUGUAAUCUGCUUUUGAACUGCAGGGUAUGGAAACAGUAUAUGCAGAAUGCAUUUAUGUAGGACAGAAGAAAAUUAUCUGUGUAACUCUCAUUCCUUGCCAAAACAUUUCUCUGUUCUCUUUUUCAAAUACGCCACCUUUUAAGCUGGCACAAACCUUUUAGCUAUAUUCUGAGGUACGUUUGUGACAGUGAUUAAAACAAAAAGAAUUAGGUUUUCCUUGUUGGGAAGACAAGAGGUAAACUUUCAGAUUUCACUAUAAAGUUUAUAGUUUGCAUUUAACAGCUGGAAAUUUUCUUUUAAUGAUUUAAAGAAAUGCAAAUGUAAUCUUGAGCUUCAAGCUCGCUUGUCCUGCAGUACUUGACCCCACUGCCAUUACAUUUUCUUUUGUUCUUUUAAUUGCAGUCAGCCUUUAUCAUCAUUUCUGCUCUUACUGAAAAGCUACCUAAUGAUUGUUCAUCCAGUUAUCUUAGCAGUGGGCCUCCAGUCUGUGAUCCUUGCUUAGUCAGCCAUAAGGCCCCAGUCUUCUUCAUUCUUAACUCAGGUCUACAGUAUGCUCUAUUAAGAAACCUUUUGCUUUCAAAUGCAAAACGUGUGUGUGUGUGAAAUUCAUGAAGUUCUCAGUCCUAAAGGAUUGGUAGUUCUUGUGCACAGGGACCAGACAGCAUCUUCUGGCUCAUGCUAGAAUUUAAUUAAGCACUGUAUAAGGAAGUUUCAGGACAGUGCAGACUUAAGAUGUAAUGAAGCAGUGGAGCCACAGAGCGUGCUGAAGGCUGUGACCAAACACCUGUUGCUGCCUUAGUUAAAUGCUGGUUCUUGUGAAAAGUCGUGAGGGAUGUGUGGCAUCAGUUUGGAGAUGUGUGUUGUAGGAGGACCUGAAGUGAUGGUGUAAGAGCUUUAUUCCACAAUUUCCUUCCCUGUCCUCCAUAACUG
Non-coding RNA from Phasianus colchicus (ring-necked pheasant), 3095 nucleotides. The record is from RefSeq and is a predicted model, not a curated record. Lineage: Eukaryota; Metazoa; Chordata; Aves; Galliformes; Phasianidae.